This 648-nucleotide ribosomal RNA is filed under the name uncultured marine eukaryote. Its description in RNAcentral is "SSU rRNA". It matches the Rfam family "Eukaryotic small subunit ribosomal RNA", at positions 617 to 1266 of the family's 1831-position model. The record is from RNAcentral.
GGUUAAAAAGCUCGUAGUUGGAUCCCGGCAAGUAGAGGGCGGUAUGCUUCGUAGCAUUACUGCCCUAUUACUUGUAGUUUUGCCAGAGGUUCCUGGGUGCUCUUAAUCGAGUGUCUAGGGAUGCUGGCAGGCUUACUUUGAAAAAAUUAGAGUGCUCAAAGCAGGCUAUUACGCUUGAAUAUUCGUGCAUGGAAUAAUAGAAUAGGAAGUUGUUUCUAUUUUGUUGGUUUUCGGAAAUCGACUUAAUGAUUAAUAGGGACAGUCGGGGGCAUUUGUAUUCAAACGACAGAGGUGAAAUUCUUGGACCGUUUGAAGACAAACUACUGCGAAAGCAUUUGCCAAGAAUGUUUUCAUUAAUCAAGAACGAAAGUUAGAGGUUCGAAGGCGAUUAGAUACCGCCCUAGUUCUAACCAUAAACGAUGCCAGCUAGCGAUCUGAGGACGUUUUUUUUGUAGACUCCUCAGGAAGCUUCCGGGAAACCAAAGCGUGUGGGUUCCGGGGGAAGUAUGGUUGCAAAGCUGAAACUUAAAGGGAUUGACGGAAGGGCACCACCAGGAGUGGAGCCUGCGGCUUAAUUUGACUCAACACGGGAAAUCUCACCAGGCCCGGACACUGGAAGGAUUGACAGAUUGAGAGCUCUUUCUCGAU